Gossypium arboreum is the source of this 318-nucleotide long non-coding RNA. RefSeq lists it as uncharacterized. NCBI's taxonomy places the organism in Eukaryota, Viridiplantae, Streptophyta, Magnoliopsida, Malvales, Malvaceae. The record is from RefSeq and is a predicted model, not a curated record. The transcript has 3 exons.
GAUCGAGGAGUGUGUGAAAAGCGUGAAUCAUUGGAGCAAUCGAAUUCGGAGCUAGCUAUCGAUUUUGGCAAAAAGGACAUCGAAAGGGAUCUCAGAAGCAGUCGUCGCAAAUCAGGUGAGCCCUAGAAUUGGUGGACUUGGAGCUGGGCGGGAUUCAGAGUGGCCAUGAAGAUUGAUUGACGAUUUUAAAUAAGUUUAGCCUUCAAUUUGGAUUAUUUUAUUUUUAUUAUGCUUAAGGUUGUAAUAAGGCCGCUCUUUUUAAUUACUUUUAUUUUGGGGAUUAUUAAACUGGCUAGCACUAGGGUUCAUUUUAUAAAA